This 492-nucleotide ribosomal RNA is filed under the name uncultured bacterium. RNAcentral's name for it is "partial 16S ribosomal RNA". It matches the Rfam family "Bacterial small subunit ribosomal RNA", at positions 29 to 507 of the family's 1533-position model. The record is from RNAcentral.
AGUGAACGCUGGCGGUAGGCCUAACACAUGCCAGUCGAACGGCAGCACAGUAAGAGCUUGCUCUUACGGGUGGCGAGUGGCGGACGGGUGAGGAAUACAUCGGAAUCUACUUUUUCGUGGGGGAUAACGUAGGGAAACUUACGCUAAUACCGCAUACGACCUACGGGUGAAAGCAGGGGAUCUUCGGACCUUGCGCGAUUGAAUGAGCCGAUGUCGGAUUAGCUAGUUGGCGGGGUAAAGGCCCACCAAGGCGACGAUCCGUAGCUGGUCUGAGAGGAUGAUCAGACACACUGGAACUGAGACACGGUCCAGACUCCUACGGGAGGCAGCAGUGGGGAAUAUUGGACAAUGGGCGCAAGCCUGAUCCAGCCAUACCGCGUGGGUGAAGAAGGCCUUCGGGUUGUAAAGCCCUUUUGUUGGGAAAGAAAAGCAGCAGGUUAAUACCCCGCUGUUCUGACGGUACCCAAAGAAUAAGCACCGGCUAACUUCGUG